RNAcentral lists this ribosomal RNA (536 nucleotides) under Tenerella affinis. RNAcentral's name for it is "partial large subunit ribosomal RNA". It matches the Rfam family "Bacterial large subunit ribosomal RNA", at positions 1808 to 2624 of the family's 2925-position model. The record is from RNAcentral. Lineage: Eukaryota; Metazoa; Arthropoda; Insecta; Phasmatodea; Pseudophasmatidae.
CAAAAACAUCUUUUCUUGUUUAUAUUUGAAAUAUGGCCUGCCCAAUGAUUUUUUAAUGGCCGCGGUAUUUUGACCGUGCAAAGGUAGCAUAAUCAUUAGUUCAUUAAUUGUGGACUGGAAUGAAUGGUUGGACGAAAUAUUAACUGUCUCUUUAUUAUAUUUAUAAUUUAAUUUUUUAGUUAAAAAGCUUAAAUUUUAUUGUAGGACGAGAAGACCCUAUAGAUCUUUAAUUUAUUAAUUUUUAUUUGUUUUGGUUUAUUGUUAUUUAAUAUUUAUUUAAUUUUAGUUGGGGUGACUAGGAGAUAUAAUUAACUCUUUAUUAUUAUUUACAUUGAUAUUUGAUUAUUUGACCUUAUAUUAUUGUUAGAAGAUUUAGAUACCUUAGGGAUAACAGCGUAAUUUUUCUUGAGAGUUCUUAUCGACAGAAAAGAUUGCGACCUCGAUGUUGAAUUAAGAUUAUUAUUUGGUGUAGAAGCUAAAUUUAUAGGUCUGUUCGACCUUUAAAUUCUUACAUGAUCUGAGNNNNAAACCGGAGA